AGAGUUUGAUCCUGGCUCAGAUUGAACGCUGGCGGCAUGCUUUACACAUGCAAGUCGAACGGUAACAGGGUGCUUGCACCGCUGACGAGUGGCGAACGGGUGAGUAAUGCAUCGGAAUGUACCGUGUAAUGGGGGAUAGCUCGGCGAAAGCCGGAUUAAUACCGCAUACGCCCUGAGGGGGAAAGUGGGGGACCGUAAGGCCUCACGUUAUACGAGCAGCCGAUGUCUGAUUAGCUAGUUGGUGGGGUAAAGGCUCACCAAGGCUUCGAUCAGUAGCGGGUCUGAGAGGAUGAUCCGCCACACUGGGACUGAGACACGGCCCAGACUCCUACGGGAGGCAGCAGUGGGGAAUUUUGGACAAUGGGCGCAAGCCUGAUCCAGCCAUGCCGCGUGUCUGAAGAAGGCCUUCGGGUUGUAAAGGACUUUUGUCCGGGAGCAAAUCCCAGUGGUUAAUACCUACUGGGGCUGAGAGUACCGGAAGAAUAAGCACCGGCUAACUACGUGC
Molecule: ribosomal RNA, 505 nt
Filed under: uncultured Chromobacterium sp.
Lineage: Bacteria; Pseudomonadati; Pseudomonadota; Betaproteobacteria; Neisseriales; Chromobacteriaceae
Description: bacterial SSU rRNA
Rfam family: Bacterial small subunit ribosomal RNA
Source: RNAcentral